Molecule: long non-coding RNA, 1546 nt
Filed under: Salmo salar (Atlantic salmon)
Lineage: Eukaryota; Metazoa; Chordata; Actinopteri; Salmoniformes; Salmonidae
Description: lncRNA (ENSSSAG00000085816.1)
Source: RNAcentral
AGGAAAUUGUGGUAGAGGUAGAGAGAUGAAGGAGUCAUGUUUAUUAUGGAUGACAGUGGUAGAGAUUAAGGAGUCAUGUUUAUUAUGGAUGACCUGGUGGUAGAGAGGUAGAGGGAUGAAGGAGUCAUGUUUAUUAUGGAGGACAGAGGUAGAGAUGAAGGAGUCAUGUUUAUUAUGGAGGACAGUGGGAGAGAUGAAGGAGUCAUAUUUAUUAUGGAGGACAGUGGGAGAGAUGAAGGAGUCAUGUUUAUUAUGGAGGACAGUGGUUGAGAUGAAGGAGUCAUGUUUAUUAUGGAGGACAGUGGGAGAGAUGAAGGAGUCAUGUUUAUUAUGGAGGACAGUGGUAGAGAUGAAGGAGUCAUGUUUAUUAUGGAGGACAGUGGUAGAGAUGAAGGAGUCAUGUUUAUUAUGGAGGACAGUGGUAGAGAUGAAGGAGUCAUGUUUAUUAUGGAUGACAUAGUGGUAGAGAUGAAGGAGUCAUGUUUAUUAUGGAGGACAGUGCUAGAGAUGAAGGAGUCAUGUUUAUUAUGGAGGACAGUGGGAGAGAUGAAGGAGUCAUGUUUGUUAUGGAGGACAGUGCUAGAGAUGAAGGAGUCAUGUUUAUUAUGGAGGACAGUGGGAGAGAUGAAGGAGUCAUGUUUGUUAUGGAGGACAGUGGUAGAGAUGAAGGAGUCAUGUUUAUUAUGUAGGACAGAGGUAGAGAUGAAGGAGUCAUGUUUAUUAUGGAGGACAUUGGUAGAGAUGAAGGAGUCAUGUUUAUUAUGGAGGACAGUGGUAGAGAUGAAGGAGUCAUGUUUAUUAUGGAGGACAGUGGUAGAGAGGUAGAGAGAUGAAGGAGUCAUGUUUAUUAUGGAGGACAUGGUGGUAGAGAGGAAGAGAUGAAGGAGUCAUGUUUAUUAUGGAGGACAGAGGUAGAGAUGAAGGAGUCAUGUUUAUUAUGGAGGACAGUGGUAGAGAUGAAGGAGUCAUGUUUAUUAUGGAGGACAGUGGUAGAGAUGAAGGAGUCAUGUUUAUUAUGUAGGACAGAGGUAGAGAUGAAGGAGUCAUGUUUAUUAUGGAGGACAGUGGUAGAGAUGAAGGAGUCAUGUAUAUUAUGGAGGACAGUGGUAGAGAUGAAGGAGUCAUGUUUAUUAUGUAGGACAGAGUUAGAGAUGAAGGAGUCAUGUUUAUUAUGGAGGACAGUGGUAGAGAUGAAGGAGUCAAGUUUAUUAUGGAUGACAUGGUGGUAGAGAGGUAGAGAGAUGAAGGAGUCAUGUUUAUUAUGGAGGACAGUGGUAGAGAUGAAGGAGUCAUGUUUAUUAUGGAGGACAGUGGUAGAGAUGAAGGAGUCAUGUUUAUUAUGUAGGACAGAGGUAGAGAUGAAGGAGUCAUGUUUAUUAUGGAGGACAGUGGUAGAGAUGAAGGAGUCAUGUUUAUUAUGGAGGACAGUGGUAGACAUGAAGGAGUCAUGUUUAUUAUGGAGGACAGUGGUAGAGAUGAAGGAGUCAUGUUUAUUAUGGAGGACAGUGGGAGAGAUGAAGGAGUCAUGUUUAUUAUGGAGGACAUG